UUGAAGAGUUUGAUCAUGGCUCAGAUUGAACGCUGGCGGCAGGCCUAAGACAUGCAAGUCGAACGGUAACGACACUAGCUUGCUAGUGGUCGACGAGUGGCGGACGGGUGAGUAACGCGUAGGAAUCUACCUAGUAGUGGGGGAUAGCCAAGGGAAACUUUGGGUAAUACCGCAUACGAUCUAAGGAUGAAAGGGGGCCUCUCUUUGAAGCUCUCGCUAUUAGAUGAGCCUGCGUAAGAUUAGCUUGUUGGUGGGGUAAUGGCCCACCAAGGCGACGAUCUUUAGCUGGUCUGAGAGGAUGAUCAGCCACACCGGGACUGAGACACGGCCCGGACUCCUACGGGAGGCAGCAGUCGGGAAUAUUGCGCAAUGGGGGAAACCCUGACGCAGCCAUGCCGCGUGUGUGAAGAAGGCCCUAGGGUUGUAAAGCACUUUCAAUUGGGAGGAAAAGCUAAUGGUUAAUAGCCAUUAGCCCUGACGUUACCUUUAGAAGAAGCACCGGCUAACUCCGUGCCAGCAGCCGCGGUAAUACGGAGGGUGCAAGCGUUAAUCGGAAUUACUGGGCGUAAAGCGCGCGUAGGCGGACUGGAAAGUUGGGGGUGAAAUCCCAGGGCUCAACCCUGGAACUGCCUCCAAAACUAUCAGUCUAGAGUUCGAGAGAGGUGAGUGGAAUUCCGAGUGUAGAGGUGAAAUUCGUAGAUAUUCGGAGGAACACCAGUGGCGAAGGCGGCUCACUGGCUCGAUACUGACGCUGAGGUGCGAAAGUGUGGGGAGCAAACAGGAUUAGAUACCCUGGUAGUCCACACCGUAAACGAUGAAUGCCAGUCGUCGGGUAGCAUGCUAUUCGGUGACACACCUAACGGAUUAAGCAUUCCGCCUGGGGAGUACGGUCGCAAGAUUAAAACUCAAAGAAAUUGACGGGGGCCCGCACAAGCGGUGGAGCAUGUGGUUUAAUUCGAAGCAACGCGCA
This 970-nucleotide ribosomal RNA is filed under the name Ctenophora environmental sample. RNAcentral's name for it is "partial Bacterial small subunit ribosomal RNA". It matches the Rfam family "Bacterial small subunit ribosomal RNA", at positions 1 to 965 of the family's 1533-position model. The record is from RNAcentral. Lineage: Eukaryota; Metazoa; Ctenophora.